CAGUAUAACUAGGAAGUGACUCCUAGGUCGUCUCUCAAGGACCAAAUUGCGGUUCAGAGAUUUAGGUCAAACACACACAGUGGGGGGGUUUGGUGAAAAGUUUUGUUUGUGAAUGCGACCGGCNGAAUUAAAAAUAAAAAUUAAACACAACCUAAUUUAAUUUAAAACAUUAAAGUGCAUGAAAAUAUUAAACUGAUCAAUGCAACAGACAAAUAUCUAAACACAAUUAAAACUAUUAAAAUGCAAAACUUAAUUAAAAAGAUGAAAAAUAAUUAAACAUGUAAUGUAAAUUAUUCUAAGGCAAAAGAAAUAAAAAAAAAAACAAAAUAUUUCUACUUUCUCACAUGACCAUGAGCUCAACUUAAAAUAAAA
RNAcentral lists this long non-coding RNA (372 nucleotides) under Vigna radiata. RNAcentral describes it as "long non-coding RNA (VRAD_LNC012473)". Lineage: Eukaryota; Viridiplantae; Streptophyta; Magnoliopsida; Fabales; Fabaceae. The record is from RNAcentral.